UUGAUGAGAUGGGAUGCGAAAUAGUGAUGUGCAGUUUCCCAAAACUUAGGAUGCGGGGUCACAUGGUGUGACCCCGGUGAGAAAGAGAAAACACAGAAAAAAAUAUCAAGCUGUCUCGACUAUGACUAGAGUCAUCCUCUCACUGCCUUAACACCUCGACAACGAUCGAAUCUCCGACAAUGUUUCAGACAAUAUCCAGCCAAGUAGGGUUUAAAUGUUUCCAUUCAACUGCAGAAAGUCUCAAGUUAAGAAAGAUUGGAAGCGAUUCUCUGCCCCUUGGUCUCUUCGGUUUAAUUCUGACUCUUUUGAACUGUGGAGUUUGGACUUCUCUGAUCGUCCAUAGCUUCCAAAGGCCAGUUGAUGGCAUGGGAAUAGGGGUAAGUCACCUCUCAUUCCCUUAGUUCUGAAUCAAAUAACCCAAGUUAAGCUUCAUAGUUUCAUUUUUCUGUAUUUGGUUCGUAUAUGAUUUUGUUUCUUUGAAGUAAUUCAUGAAGCUCUCUCUAUUUAUGCUUAAUUAUGACGUAUCUAUAUUCUGUGGUAUUGUUUAACUUUGUUUAGUUACUUUCAAUUUAUUCCAUGCCUUUUGAAUAUCUUGCUUUAUAGCUGAUGGGAGUUCUUUUUAAUUCAGAUUUUAGCGAAGCCUAGGUGAAAAUUUUAUUUUAAUUUCACAUUCUUUAGCGUUCUUAGGGAUAUUCAACUCUUGGUUGUUUGUUAGUUGGGUUUAUUCUUCCAAACUCUUUAGUUGUGGUCUUUCCUAGUUGGAAUUAUACAAGGGAUCCGAUUUGGGUUUAGUUCUUUGGUUAAUAAGUGAUGAGUGGUCAAAAUUUUGAGUCUAUUGGUUGUCAUUAAUGUGCCAUGAAUACCUUGCUUGAAAACUUGUGGGAGAUCAUAAAUUAGAUGUGAAUGAAAUUAGAUGCUCUAUAUAUUUGAUGUGAAUGAAAAAAAAAACCAUCACAAAUUAGAUGUUCUAUAUAUUUGAUGAAAAUCAAGGCAAGACCAUAGUAGCAAUUUAGCUAGUAAGGUCUGACCAGAAGUGCCAGAAUGAAUUAGUAGCCUCUUUAAUAUCAACACAAAGCAAUAUCCGCUUGGGAAAUAGGCUACAAAAUUUUCUCAUCAACCAAACACUGAGAACCAAAUUCUGUAGGAUAAUAUGUCUCAACAAACAAACACGGAGUGCCAAAAUAAAAAAAUAGAUUUUCCUUUCUCAUCCCAUCCCUUCUCAUUCUAUUGUUUCUCGGCAACCAAAUGGACCAUUAAGUAAAACGAACACAUGAUCCAAUCAUACGUGAGAGAAAGGGUAGACUAGUAAUUUAUCACAAAGAACAUAACCAGACUCAAAGAAACCCCAGCACCCCUUCAUUCUUUCGUUGUUCUUCGUUGUUUCUCUACUUGACAUAUCUCCUCUACAACGGUAGAAAGAAUCUUCUCAGUUGGUGAUCGAUCUCUCCUGUACCACAAUUAUCCUUCAUUUUCAAUAUAAAAAAAAAAGCUUUUUUUGUUGCUACAAAGUCUACAAACCAUUCAUCCAAAACAGAGAGAUCCAUCUUCUUCUUUUUUUGUAGCAAUAUAUACCCACACCCAACUCACCUCGCCCGUUAAUAGGUAAGUUCAUAUGGUUUGUAAACUAAGAUGGCAAUUGAGAUUUCAAAAGCCUUAAACCUCUUAUUUUCUAGCAGUAUAUACCCACCUCUGUUGAUUUCUGAUACUGAUGAAGGUUCUCUAAUGGGGCCCUAUUCGAAUCCAAUAACAACUGAGAUAGUGAUUGUAAUACAUGGCCAAGGAAUGGAUCACAUAGUUUGCUCGAGCCCUACAAGCGAGUCGGACUGCAAAAAUAAGUGGUUUAAGGUCAUAGAGAGAAAUGUCUUUGCCAUUUCACCUUUCCAUCUUACAACCCAAAUUUUGUUCAAUAACAAUUUGUUUGUUAUCAUGGGAUUCAAUACAAUGGCAAAGAAAAACCACCUUGAGUUCCUAGGUGGGAAAAGCUAAAUUUCGGAGACUUGAUGAUAUCAGAUUGCACACCGUGCGUAGAGGAGAAAGAAGUUGCAAUGUAGGAGGACAUUCAAAAGGAAAGGCAUGAAUAGGAGGUGGAACAAAGGAAGAGAGUGGAGCAAAAGCAAGAGGGAGAGACAAAGGAGGAAGAGGAGGGACAACGGAGGCAGGGAGAGGAGGAACAGAGAAAGCGAGAGAAGCAAGAGGCAAAGAUACAGGAGGAAGCAAAGAGAAGACAAAAGCAAAGAUGGAGAAGGCAGGGACAGGGGGAAGAGAGAAAGAAUGAGGAGGAAGAGGGUGGGGAACAAGAUCAACAAGAGCAAGAGGUAGAUUCAGAGUUCUCAAAAGAAAAAGAUUAGAGAGUCACGCACUAGCCACCUGAACUAUUACCAUAUUACCAUCUAUCUAGUGAGUGUUAAAUAAAAUAAAAGGCAUUUGAACACUCUAAGAAGGUAGAGUGUUUGGGUCAAGUUUUGAAUUUUUCUUGCAUUAACUGGGUCAUUGGCAAAAAGUCCAAUGGGGAUGAUGUAGUGGGUAAGAAGAAAUGCCUAGUUGAGACACAUUCCAUCAUGUUAUCUGCUAUUGUCUCUUUAAGAAAUGAAUAUUUGAGCUUGAGAAGGCUCAAAAUCUGGAUCUGCAUUAAAAAUA
Molecule: non-coding RNA, 2637 nt
Organism: Nelumbo nucifera (sacred lotus)
Lineage: Eukaryota; Viridiplantae; Streptophyta; Magnoliopsida; Proteales; Nelumbonaceae
Source: RefSeq, a predicted model, not a curated record